Molecule: ribosomal RNA, 481 nt
Filed under: uncultured bacterium
Lineage: Bacteria
Description: partial 16S ribosomal RNA
Rfam family: Bacterial small subunit ribosomal RNA
Source: RNAcentral
GAUGAACGCUGGCGGCGUGCUUAACACAUGCAAGUCGAACGAAGCAACUUAUUUGUUUUUCUUCGGGACUGAUUAUCUUGUGACUGAGUGGCGGACGGGUGAGUAACGCGUGGGUAACCUGUCUUGUACAGGGGGAUAACAGAUGGAAACGGCUGCUAAUACCGCAUAAGCGCACAGCAUCGCAUGAUGCAGUGCGAAAAACUCCGGUGGUAUAAGAUGGACCCGCGUUGGAUUAGCUAGUUGGUGAGGUAACGGGCCACCAAGGCGAGGAUCCAUAGCCGAGCAGAUAGAGUGACCGGCGACAUCGGGACGGGGACGCAGUACAAACUCCUACGGGAGGCAGCAGUGGGGAAUAUAGCACAGUGGGCGAAAGCCUGAUGCAGCGAGGCCGCGAGAGCGAAGAAGUAAUGCAGGAUGUAAAGCUCAAGCAGCAGGGAAGAUAAUGACGGUACCUGACUAGGAAGCACCGGCUAAAUACGUG